CCGGAUGAAGGCUGGCGGUGCGUUAAUACAUGCAAGUCGAACGAGAAACUAAAUUUAUUUAGCGGAAAGUGGCGGACGAGCGAGUAACACGUAAGCAUCUGCCUUGUACUCAGGGAUAACUCGGCGAAAGUCGAGCUAAUACCGGAUGGUCUCGAAAGAGUAAAGAUUUAUCGGUACAAGAGGAGCUUGCGGGCUAUCAGUUAGUUGGUGGGGUAAAGGCCUACCAAGACUAUGACGGCUACCUGGUGUGAGAGCACGACCAGGUGCGAUGGGACUGAGACACGGCCCAUACUUCUACGGAAGGCAGCAGUAAAGAAUCUUCCGCAAUGGACGAAAGUCUGACGGAGCGACACCGCGUGGUGGAUGACACCCCUAGGGGCGUAAACACCUUUUAUGAGGGAAGAAGAUCUGACGGUACCUCAUGAAUAAGCACCGGCUAAUUACGUGCCAGCAGCCGCGGUAAUACGUAAGGUGCAAGCGUUAUCCGGAAUUAUUGGGCGUAAAGCGUCCGCAGGUUGUUUAUUAAGUUAGUUAUGAAAUACCGAUACUCAACAUCGGUGCUGUAGCUAAAACUAGUAAACUAGAGUAGUGGAGAGGUAUGUGGAAUUGUGCAAGUAGGGGUAAAAUCCGUAGAUAUGCACAGGAACACCAAAAGCGAAGGCAGCAUACUGGACACUUACUGACACUCAGGGACGAAAGCGUGGGGAGCGAAAGGGAUUAGAUACCCCUGUAGUCCACGCCGUAAACGAUGCAUGCUCGGUGUAAGAACCCUCGACCUGGUUCUUGUGCCUAAGGUAACCCGAUAAGCAUGCCGCCUGUGUAGUACGAUCGCAAGAUUAAAACACAAAGGAAUAGACGGGGACCCACACAAGCGGUGGAUUGCGGGGUUUAAUUCGAUAAUAAGCGAGUAACCUUACCCAGACUUGACAUCCUGUUCGUAGAUUUUAGAGAUAAUUUCGUCGGUUCGGCCGGAACAGUGACAGGCGUUGCAUGGUUGUCGUCAGCUCGUGCCUUGAGGUGUGCGGUUAAGUCCGUGAACGAGCGCAACCCUUAUCCUAUGUUGAAUUUUCAUGGGAGACUGCCCAUCAUAAAUGGGAGGAAGGUGAGGAUGACGUCAAAUCAGCAUGACCCUUAUGUCUGGGGCUACACCCACAAUACAAUGGUUGGUACAAACUGAAGCGAAGCAGCGAUGCGGAGCAAAUCGGAUAAACCAAUCUCAGUUCGGAUUGAAGUCUGAAACUCGACUUCAUGAAGUUGGAAUCGCUAGUAAAUGUAUAUCAGUCAUGGUACAUUGAUAUGUUCCUGGUCUUGCACACACCG
RNAcentral lists this ribosomal RNA (1320 nucleotides) under uncultured bacterium. RNAcentral describes it as "bacterial SSU rRNA". It matches the Rfam family "Bacterial small subunit ribosomal RNA", at positions 25 to 1392 of the family's 1533-position model. The record is from RNAcentral.